GACGAACGCUGGCGGCGUGCCUAAUACAUGCAAGUCGAACGCUUCUUUCCUCCCAAGUGCUUGCACUCAACUGGAAAGAGGAGUGGCGGACGGGUGAGUAACACGUCGGUAACCUACCCAUCAGAGGGGGAGAACACUUGGAAACAGGUGCUGAUACCGCAUAACAGUUUAUGCCGCAUGGCAUAAGAGUGAAAGGCACUUUCGGGUGUCGUUGAUGGAUGGACUCUCGGUGCAUUAGCUAGUUGGUGAGGUAACGGCUCACCAAGGCCACGAUGCAUAGCCGCCCUGAGAGGGUGAUCCGCCACACGAGGACUGAGACACGGCCCAGACUCCUACGGGAGGAAGCAGUCGGGAAUCUUAGGCAAUGGACGAAAGUCUGACAGAGCAACGCCGCGUGAGUGAAGAAGGUGUUCGGAUCGUAAAACUCUGUUGUUAGAGAAGAACAAGGACGUUAGUAACUGAACGUCCAAUGACGGUACCUAACCAGAAAGCCACGGCUAACUACGUG
RNAcentral lists this ribosomal RNA (508 nucleotides) under uncultured bacterium. RNAcentral describes it as "partial 16S ribosomal RNA". It matches the Rfam family "Bacterial small subunit ribosomal RNA", at positions 28 to 507 of the family's 1533-position model. The record is from RNAcentral.